UGGGGAAUUUUGGACAAUGGGGGAAACCCUGAUCCAGCCAUCCCGCGUGUGCGAUGAAGGCCUUCGGGUUGUAAAGCACUUUUGGCAGGGAAGAAACGGCGUCGACUAAUAUUUGGCGUCACUGACGGUACCUGCAGAAUAAGCACCGGCUAACUACGUGCCAGCAGCCGCGGUAAUACGUAGGGUGCAAGCGUUAAUCGGAAUUACUGGGCGUAAAGCGUGCGCAGGCGGUUUGGAAAGAAAGAUGUGAAAUCCCAGAGCUUAACUUUGGAACUGCAUUUUUAACUGCCAAGCUAGAGUAUGUCAGAGGGGGGUAGAAUUCCACGUGUAGCAGUGAAAUGCGUAGAGAUGUGGAGGAAUACCGAUGGCGAAGGCAGCCCCCUGGGAUAAUACUGACGCUCAUGCACGAAAGCGUGGGGAGCAAACAGG
RNAcentral lists this ribosomal RNA (429 nucleotides) under uncultured bacterium. RNAcentral describes it as "bacterial SSU rRNA". It matches the Rfam family "Bacterial small subunit ribosomal RNA", at positions 355 to 776 of the family's 1533-position model. The record is from RNAcentral.